This 433-nucleotide ribosomal RNA is filed under the name uncultured bacterium. Its description in RNAcentral is "partial 16S ribosomal RNA". It matches the Rfam family "Bacterial small subunit ribosomal RNA", at positions 29 to 507 of the family's 1533-position model. The record is from RNAcentral.
AACGAACGCUGGCGGCAUGCCUAACACAUGCCAGUCGAACGAGACCUUCGGGUCUAGUGGCGCACGGGUGCGUAACGCGUGGGAACCUGCCCUUAGGUUCGGAAUAACUCCCCGAAAGGGGUGCUAAUACCGGAUAAUGUCUUCGGACCAAAGAUUUAUCGCCUUUGGAUGGGCCCGCGUUGGAUUAGCUAGUUGGUAGGGUAAAAGCCUACCAAGGCGACGAUUCAUAGCUGGUCUGAGAGGAUGAUCAGCCACACUGGGACUGAGACACGGCCCAGACUCCUACGGGAGGCAGCAGUGGGGAAUAUUGGACAAUGGGCGAAAGCCUGAUCCAGCAAUGCCGCGUGAGUGAUGAAGGCCUUAGGGUUGUAAAGCUCUUUUACCCGGGAUGAUAAUGACAGUACCGGGAGAAUAAGCUCCGGCUAACUCCGUG